Molecule: long non-coding RNA, 286 nt
Filed under: Phoenix dactylifera (date palm)
Lineage: Eukaryota; Viridiplantae; Streptophyta; Magnoliopsida; Arecales; Arecaceae
Description: long non-coding RNA (PDAC_LNC012697)
Source: RNAcentral
GCCAACCAUCCCAUAUUUGUGGAGAAUUUUGUGGGGUUUUGAAUUUUGAAUUCAAAAUUCAAGUUCAUGUGCCAUUACAUGAUGAAGCUUGAUCUAAACUAAACCAUUCAUCAUGUUGCCACUUUCCUCUUUCAAUUUCGAAAUUCCCAUGCCCCCAAUCAGAUUAGAGGGUCACGUGGUGAUUUUGUGGUGAUUAAAUUCGAAAUUCAACCUUAAUUAGAAGUGAGAUAAAAAUAAGGAUGACAUAUGCCAUGAAGAGAGAGAAUUUGAUCUUAUCCAAUUCUUU